Molecule: unclassified non-coding RNA, 245 nt
Filed under: air metagenome
Description: partial contains small subunit ribosomal RNA, internal transcribed spacer 1, and 5.8S ribosomal RNA
Rfam family: Eukaryotic small subunit ribosomal RNA (bases 1-46)
Source: RNAcentral
AAGUCGUAACAAGGUUUCCGUAGGUGAACCUGCGGAAGGAUCAUUAUCGAGUUUUUGAACGGGUUGUAGCUGGCCUUUCAGGCAUGUGCACACCUGGCUCAUCCACUCUUAACCCCUGUGCACCAUAUGUAGGAAUGAAAGACGCAAGUCUUAGUUCUUAUGUUUAUUACAAACACUUCAGUUUUAGAAUGUUUACUGUGUAUAACACAAAUGUACAACUUUCAGCAACGGAUCUCUUGGCUCUC